Molecule: transfer RNA, 98 nt
Filed under: Desulfosarcina ovata subsp. ovata
Lineage: Bacteria; Pseudomonadati; Thermodesulfobacteriota; Desulfobacteria; Desulfobacterales; Desulfosarcinaceae
Description: tRNA-Ser
Rfam family: transfer-messenger RNA
About the family: Bacterial tmRNA, also known as 10Sa RNA or SsrA, is named for its dual tRNA and mRNA-like properties. Its role is to liberate the mRNA from a stalled ribosome.
Source: RNAcentral
GGAGACUUGCGAGGGCAAUACUUAGAUAUCAGGAUAAGCAUGUAGAUAUCUGCGUGGAAUGUUUUCGGACGCGGGUUCGACUCCCGCCGCCUCCACCA